GAUGAAGAACGUAGCGAAAUGCGAUACGUAAUGUGAAUUGCAGAUUUCAGUGAAUCAUCGAAUCUUUGAACGCACAUUGCGCCCGCCAGUAUUCUGGCGGGCAUGUCUGUUCGAGCGUCAUUUCAACCAUCAAGCGCCUGCGCUUGUGUUGGAGCCCUGCGGCUGCCGCAGGCUCUCAAACCCUGUGGCGGGCUCGUCGUCGUACCGAGUGCAGUAAAUUUACCACGCUCAGGGCACGCGACGGGUGACCGGCCGUAAAACCCCCAUCUUCUCAAGGUUGACCUCGGAUCAGGUAGGAAUACCCGCUGAACUUAAGCAUAUCAAUAAGCGGAGGA
This 335-nucleotide unclassified non-coding RNA is filed under the name soil metagenome. RNAcentral's name for it is "partial contains 5.8S ribosomal RNA, internal transcribed spacer 2, and large subunit ribosomal RNA". The stretch from base 1 to 120 matches the Rfam family "5.8S ribosomal RNA", at positions 35 to 154 of the family's 154-position model. The record is from RNAcentral.